Molecule: ribosomal RNA, 385 nt
Filed under: uncultured bacterium
Lineage: Bacteria
Description: bacterial SSU rRNA
Rfam family: Bacterial small subunit ribosomal RNA
Source: RNAcentral
AUUGAACGCUGGCGGCAUGCUUUACACAUGCAAGUCGAACGGUAACAGCACUUCGGUGGCUGACGAGUGGCGAACGGGUGAGUAAUGUAUCGGAACGUGCCCAGUAGUGGGGGAUAACUACUCGAAAGAGUGGCUAAUACCGCAUGAGAUCUCUGGAUGAAAGCGGGGGGACCGUAAGGCCUCGCGCUACUGGAGCGGCCGAUAUCAGAUUAGGUUGUUGGUGAGGUAAAGGCUCACCAAGCCUGCGAUCUGUAGCUGGUCUGAGAGGACGACCAGCCACACUGGGACUGAGACACGGCCCAGACUCCUACGGGAGGCAGCAGUGGGGAAUUUUGGACAAUGGGCGCAAGCCUGAUCCAGCAAUGCCGCGUGCAGGACGAAGGCC